UCCUACGGGGGGGCUGCAGUGGGGRAUAYKSCASAAKGGGCSRAAGCCUGAUGCAGCGACGCCGCGUGAGGGAUGACGGCCUUCGGGUUGUAAACCUCUUUCAGCAGGGAAGAAGCGAAAGUGACGGUACCUGCAGAAGAAGCGCCGGCUAACUACGUGCCAGCAGCCGCGGUAAUACGUAGGGCGCAAGCGUUGUCCGGAAUUAUUGGGCGUAAAGAGCUCGUAGGCGGCUUGUCACGUCGGGUGUGAAAGCCCGGGGCUUAACCCCGGGUCUGCAUUCGAUACGGGCUAGCUAGAGUGUGGUAGGGGAGAUCGGAAUUCCUGGUGUAGCGGUGAAAUGCGCAGAUAUCAGGAGGAACACCGGUGGCGAAGGCGGAUCUCUGGGCCAUUACUGACGCUGAGGAGCGAAAGCGYGGSKAGCGAACAGGAUUAGAUACCGCNGGUAGUCAAAU
RNAcentral lists this ribosomal RNA (452 nucleotides) under Streptomyces sp. RNAcentral describes it as "partial 16S ribosomal RNA". Lineage: Bacteria; Bacillati; Actinomycetota; Actinomycetes; Kitasatosporales; Streptomycetaceae. The record is from RNAcentral.